UAAGUAAGCCAGAUGAUCGCAUGCGUUUGCAUGAGGAAAGUCCGAGCUCCAAAGGGCAGGGUGCUGGGUAAUACCCAGUGGGGGCAACCCCAAGGAUAGUGCAACAGAGAUAUACCGCCAGAACUCUUUUUCGGUGUAACAACUGAGCAUGUAGUGAAAUAGUCCAUAGAAGGGGCUAUCUGGUAAGGGUGGAAAGGCGAGGUAAGAGCUCACCAGCAGCUAGGCGACUAGCUGGCUAUGUAAACCCCAUCUGGAGCAAGACCAAGUAGGGACUAGAAAAGGCGGCUGCCCGUCGUCAUCCCAAAGGUAGGUCGCUGGAACCUAUUGGCAACAUUAGGUCUAGAUAGAUGAUCGUCUAAUACAGAACUCGGCUUAUAGACUUACUUAAUAC
Molecule: RNase P RNA, 391 nt
Filed under: Gottschalkiaceae bacterium
Lineage: Bacteria; Bacillati; Bacillota; Tissierellia; Tissierellales; Gottschalkiaceae
Description: RNase P RNA component class A
Rfam family: Bacterial RNase P class A
About the family: Ribonuclease P (RNase P) is a ubiquitous endoribonuclease, found in archaea, bacteria and eukarya as well as chloroplasts and mitochondria. Its best characterised activity is the generation of mature 5'-ends of tRNAs by cleaving the 5'-leader elements of precursor-tRNAs.
Source: RNAcentral